GACGAACGCUGGCGGCGUGCCUAAUACAUGCAAGUAGAACGCAGUUGCGAACGGGUGAGUAACGCGUAGGUAACUGCCUCAUAGCGGGGGAUAACUAUUGGAAACGAUAGCUAAUACCGCAUACUUUGGGAUGGACCUGUGUUGUAUUAGCUAGUUGGUGAGGUAAAGGCUCACCAAGGCGACGUUACAUAGCCGACCUGAGAGGGUGAUCUGCCACACGGGGACUGAGGCACGGCCCCGAGUCCGACGGGAGGGAGCAGUAGGGAAUCUUCGGCAAUGGACGGAAGUCUGACCGAGCAACGCCGCGUGAGUGAAGAAGGUUUUCGGAUCUUAAAGCUCUGUUGUGAUAGAAGCGUUAACUAACCAGAAAGGGACGGCUAACUACGUGCCAGCAGCCGCGGUAAUAC
RNAcentral lists this ribosomal RNA (407 nucleotides) under uncultured bacterium. RNAcentral describes it as "partial 16S ribosomal RNA". It matches the Rfam family "Bacterial small subunit ribosomal RNA", at positions 28 to 526 of the family's 1533-position model. The record is from RNAcentral.